CUAUGGUCAUAUCAUGUUAAAACCACUGGUUCCUGGAUGAUCUCAGAAGUUAAGCAAUAUUGAGCCUAGUCAGUGCCGAAAUGGGUGAUUACUUGGGAAUACCAGGUGCUGUAA
Acanthosepion pharaonis is the source of this 114-nucleotide non-coding RNA. Lineage: Eukaryota; Metazoa; Mollusca; Cephalopoda; Sepiida; Sepiidae. The record is from the annotation of a GenBank genome assembly.